RNA transcript from Cercocebus atys (sooty mangabey), 2093 nucleotides. It is a transcript of the gene named transcriptional repressor p66-alpha pseudogene, with no coding region annotated. The transcript has a single exon. The record is from RefSeq and is a predicted model, not a curated record. NCBI's taxonomy places the organism in Eukaryota, Metazoa, Chordata, Mammalia, Primates, Cercopithecidae.
GCCCCCGGCCCCAACACCGCCUGGCCCCGCGGGCGACCCCGGACCCGCAGCCCCACUAACCAGCGCGCUGCCCAGGGCCUGGCCGACCCACGGCCCGGUUGGUCAGCACGUCGUCUCAAGUAGGUAGCCUUUUGACGUCACUGUGGCCAUGACCAACUGGUAGGACCAGCACCCCAUACCGCGAAGCCAGUUCAGAAUGACCGAAGAAGCAUGCCAAAAACGGAGUCAGAAACGAGCGCUUCAACUGGACCCAACAGAGGACGACGCGGAGAGCAAGAAAAUAAAAAUGGAGAGAGGGUUGUUGGCUUCAGAUUUAAACACUGACAGAGACAUAAGGUGACACCUGAGCCGGGAGCGGGUCCAGCCCAAGGAUUGCUGAGGGCAACAGGGGCCACGACGGUGGCCAUGGGCAGAGGCGAAGGUCUGGUGGGCGAUGGACCCGUGGACAUGCCCUCCUCACACAGUGACAUGAAAUCUGAGAGAAGACCCCCCUUACCGACGUGAUUGUACUCUGCCACAACGAGCAGCCCUCCAGCCCGAGAGAGAAUGGGCUGAUCACGGUGGCCUUGAAGGAGACUAGCACCGAGGCUCUCAUGAAAAGCAACCCGAAAGAACGAGAAAGGAUGUUCAAGCAGCUGAAAGAAGAGUUGAGGUUAGAAGAAGCAAAACUCGUUUUGUUGAAAAAGUUGCGGACGAGUCAAAUACGAAAGGAAGCCACCGCCCAGAAGCCCGCAGGUUCUGUCUGGAGCGCCGUGACCACCCCUCUGCCGCUUGUUGGGGGCACCCAGAACAUUCCUGCUGGCAAGCCGUCACUCCAGAUCUCUUCAGCUCGGAUGCCUGGCAGUGUCAUACCCCCGCCCCUGGUCCGAGGUGGGCAGCAGGUGUCCUUGAAGCUGGGGCCGCAGGAGAACUCGCAGGUCGUCAUGACCCCGCUGGUCAGGGGGCCCCAGCAUAUCCAUAGCAUUAUGCAACAUUCCAGCACAGGCCCACCGCCCCUCCUGGCCCCCCGGGCAUCGGUGCCCAGUGUGCAGAUUCAGGGACAGAGGAUCGUCCAGCAGGGCCUCAUCCGCAUUGCCAGUGUUCCCAACACCAGCCUGCUCAUCAACAUCCCACAGCCCACCCCAGCAUCACUGAAGGGGACGACAGCUUCCUACGCUCAGGCCAACUCCACCCCCACUAGCGUGGCCUCUGUGGUCACCUCCGCCAAGUCUUCAGCAAGCCAACAGGCAGCCGCCAAGCUGGCGCUGCGCAAACAGCUGGAGAAGACGCUACUCGAGAUCCCGCCACCCGAGCCCCCAGCCCCGGAGAUGAACUUUCUGCCCAGCGCCCCCAACAGUGAGUUCAUCUACCUGGUCAGCCUGGAGGAGGUGGUGCAGAACCUACUGGAGACACAAGCGGGCAGGAUGUUGGCCGCCACUGUGCUGUCCCGGGAGCCCUAAAUGUGUACACACUGCAAGAUGGACUUCAUGUGCCGCUGGUGGGAGGAGAAGAGCGGCGCCAUCAUGUGUGAGAACUGCAUGACGACCAACCAGAAGAAGGCGCUCAAGGUGGAGCACACCAGCCGGCUGAAGGCUGCCUUCGUGAAGGCGCUGCAGCAGGAGCAGGAGAUUGAGCAGCGGCUCCUGCAGCAGGGCGCAGCCUCUGCUCCACAGGCCCAGGCCAAGGCCGAGGCCGCCGCCGCCCCACAUCCCACGCUGAAGCAGGUCAUAAAACUCCGGCGUAGGUUGGCAUUCCGCUCAGGAGAGGCCUGCGACUAGAGUAACGGGGCUGUGCUACAGGCCUUUAGCCUGCUGUCCCAGGGUUCGGCCAUGACGCCCCGAGGUGUCCUGCACACGUUCAGUCAGUCACCCAAACUGCAGAACUCAGCCUUGGCCACAGCCCUGGUCAGCAGGACCGGCAGACAUUCCAAAUGAACCUGUCAAGGGCAGCGGCACCUCCAACUGGAGGAAGAUGCCCCUCAGCACAGGCGGGACCCUUGGGUUUGUCAGCCCAAGCCUGGCGGUGCACAAGAGCUCCUCGGCCGUGGACCGCCAAGCGAGAGUACCCUCCUGGACAUGACCCAGCCCCGCUCCAUCCCCCAGUCACCACCGUGA